This is a long non-coding RNA of Sebastes umbrosus (honeycomb rockfish), 243 nucleotides long. RefSeq lists it as uncharacterized. The transcript has 3 exons. The record is from RefSeq and is a predicted model, not a curated record. Lineage: Eukaryota; Metazoa; Chordata; Actinopteri; Perciformes; Sebastidae.
UGCUGCUGCUGCUGGCGGUCUGCAUCGCUGGACUCUUCAUCUGGAGGAGGAACAAUAACGGGUUUCGCCCUGCUAACAGGGGGCAGUGAACAUAGAAGAGGAUGCUGAACUCCACAAUUUAUCAUCUCAGAGGACUUUAUAAUCUGUACAACAUAUAUUUAGGGCCCGAGCACGAAAGUGCCAGGACCCCAACGGUGUCCUGGCACGAAAGUGCAAGGAAACCUAUUGUUUUUCUAAGUAUUA